Molecule: non-coding RNA, 90 nt
Organism: Mycena metata
Lineage: Eukaryota; Fungi; Basidiomycota; Agaricomycetes; Agaricales; Mycenaceae
Source: the annotation of a GenBank genome assembly
UCGGACGUGGUGCAUGGCGCGCACCCACUUUUCCUAGCCAGGUACAAAAGCAAAGAGUGGGAGCUCCGGGUUCGAUUCCCGGCGUCUGAA